This 255-nucleotide ribosomal RNA is filed under the name Salmonella enterica subsp. enterica serovar Anatum. RNAcentral describes it as "partial 23S ribosomal RNA". It matches the Rfam family "Bacterial large subunit ribosomal RNA", at positions 1124 to 1378 of the family's 2925-position model. Lineage: Bacteria; Pseudomonadati; Pseudomonadota; Gammaproteobacteria; Enterobacterales; Enterobacteriaceae. RNAcentral also lists the same sequence under 3 other names. The record is from RNAcentral.
UAAAGAAAGCGUAAUAGCUCACUGGUCGAGUCGGCCUGCGCGGAAGAUGUAACGGGGCUAAACCAUGCACCGAAGCUGCGGCAGCGACACUGUGUGUUGUUGGGUAGGGGAGCGUUCUGUAAGCCUGCGAAGGUGGCCUGUGAGGGUUGCUGGAGGUAUCAGAAGUGCGAAUGCUGACAUAAGUAACGAUAAAGCGGGUGAAAAGCCCGCUCGCCGGAAGACCAAGGGUUCCUGUCCAACGUUAAUCGGGGCAGG